CCCUUAGAUGUUCUGGGCAGCACGCGCGCUACAAUGGUCUUCGCAAACGGAUGCAUUCUCGAAGGAGAAUGCCAAUCUUGGAAUCUAUGCCUUGGUCGGGACAGUUGCUUGCAAUUUUUCGACUCGAACCAGGAAUUCCUUGUAAUCGUGAUUCAUCACAUCACGAUGAAUACGUCCCUGCCCUUUGUACACACCGCCCGUCGCUCCUACCGAUCGAAGCGUUAGGUGAAUUGUUUUGAUCGAUAAGAUUUGACUAUGGUCAACUCUCGUUGUGAAAUUCUGUGAAUCUGACUGUUUAGAGGAAGGAAAAGUCGUAACA
Molecule: ribosomal RNA, 319 nt
Filed under: uncultured eukaryote
Lineage: Eukaryota
Description: partial 18S ribosomal RNA
Rfam family: Eukaryotic small subunit ribosomal RNA
Source: RNAcentral